This 506-nucleotide ribosomal RNA is filed under the name uncultured bacterium. Its description in RNAcentral is "bacterial SSU rRNA". It matches the Rfam family "Bacterial small subunit ribosomal RNA", at positions 15 to 507 of the family's 1533-position model. The record is from RNAcentral.
GAUCCUGGCUCAGGAUGAACGCUAGCGGCAGGCUUAACACAUGCAAGUCGAGGGGCAGCAUGGGACGGAGAUUCGUCGAAGUCCUGAUGGCGACCGGCGCAAGGGUGCGUAACGCGUGAGCAACUUGCCCGUUUCUGGGGAAUAACCGGUGGAAACGCCGACUAAUACCCCCAUAGUAUUGAGUUCAGGCAUCUUUACUCAAUUAAAGAAUUUCGGAAACGGAUAGGCUCGCGUGACAUUAGCUAGAUGGCGGGGUAACGGCCCACCAUGGCGACGAUGUCUAGGGGUUCUGAGAGGAAGGUCCCCCACACUGGAACUGAGACACGGUCCAGACUCCUACGGGAGGCAGCAGUGAGGAAUAUUGGUCAAUGGGCGCAAGCCUGAACCAGCCAAGUAGCGUGAAGGAUGACUGCCCUAUGGGUUGUAAACUUCUUUUUACGGGAACAAAUGUUGCUACGUGUAGCAAUUUGCGUGUACCGUACGAAUAAGCAUUGGCUAACUCCGUG